UACGGAGGAUGCGAGCGUUAUCCGGAUUUAUUGGGUUUAAAGGGUGCGUAGGCGGGCUGUUAAGUCAGCGGUAAAAGCCCGGGGCCCAACCCCGGCGAGCCGUUGAAACUGGCUGUCUUGAGAUGUCGAGAGGUAUGCGGAAUGCGCAGUGUAGCGGUGAAAUGCUUAGAUAUUGCGCAGAACUCCGAUUGCGAAGGCAGCAUACCGGCGGCGAUCUGACGCUGAGGCACGAAAGCGUGGGUAUCGAACAGG
RNAcentral lists this ribosomal RNA (252 nucleotides) under uncultured bacterium. RNAcentral's name for it is "partial 16S ribosomal RNA". It matches the Rfam family "Bacterial small subunit ribosomal RNA", at positions 524 to 776 of the family's 1533-position model. The record is from RNAcentral.